RNAcentral lists this small nuclear RNA (103 nucleotides) under Carlito syrichta (Philippine tarsier). Lineage: Eukaryota; Metazoa; Chordata; Mammalia; Primates; Tarsiidae. The record is from RNAcentral.
GCAUUUGCCUCGGCACCCCAUAGGCUAAAAUUGGACGUUAUAGAGAUGAGUUUGGCCCCGGUACAAGGAUGGUAUGCAAGUUUGAGAUGCAGUCUUUAUUUUU